AAUGAAUCAUACCCUUGGCUCGGUUGUCUUGUCACCGUGAUAGAUCUGAGAAAAUAAUAAUUGUGUUUCUCAGUAAAUGAAGAUUAGCAUAUUGUUUUCGAAAUGUUGGAAUCGUAUUUAAAAACAUCUUCAUAAAUAAGCAGUCCGUCACCUAACAUUUAUGCUUGAUGACAAAUAAUUCGGUCACAAGAAAACCUCACUGAGUAUCUCGCCGGAUCUUCCAGUGAGCCGCGGUUCCGAUCCGGUGGAAGAUUCAGCGAAGUUCUGCUUUUGCUAGGACAGAUGUUAGCAAAGUCUUCCAGGCUGAGCCAAAGUAUGCUCUCCUACGCGUUCGGUGAAGUUAGCAUGACCCCUCAAAGUUACUGACAAUAGGGACUAAAGCAAUUUCUCUAAAGGAAGAGCUCUUAUCCGUUAUAAACAUGUACAGAGUUUUCUUCAUACCAAUACUUUGUCGAGCCUCCAGAAAACACUUUCGGUCCUUUUCAAGCUUUCAAGUAGAGGCCAUGAAACUAUGUUCCACAGGAUGGGUUGUAAGGUAAGACACACCCAAACAAUAUCACAAUGAUAUUAUCUGGAUAUUAUAGUCUUAGUAUUAUUUCAAAACUAUGAUGAUUAAAAACGUGUAGAUUUUUUCAAACUUUAAUUUUAUUUUAUAAUGAGCUGGAUAGAUACACUCUUUUCCCAACACAAAGAUUUUUGUAACAUAAUAAUAUGUGUAUUUUCAUUACUUGUGUUUCAUUAAAUAUUAAACCAUAAAAAUGUAUUUAUUGAUGAUGUU
Molecule: long non-coding RNA, 778 nt
Organism: Bombyx mori (domestic silkworm)
Lineage: Eukaryota; Metazoa; Arthropoda; Insecta; Lepidoptera; Bombycidae
Exons: 2
Source: RefSeq, a predicted model, not a curated record